Molecule: ribosomal RNA, 253 nt
Filed under: uncultured bacterium
Lineage: Bacteria
Description: partial 16S ribosomal RNA
Rfam family: Bacterial small subunit ribosomal RNA
Source: RNAcentral
UACAGGGGGGGCAAGCGUUGUUCGGAAUUACUGGGCGUAAAGGGCUCGUAGGUGGCCAACUAAGUCGGACGUGAAAUCCCUCAGCUUAACUGGGGAACUGCAUCCGAUACUGGAUGGCUUGAGUUUGGGAGAGGGAUGCGGAAUUCCAGGUGUAGCGGUGAAAUGCGUAGAUAUCUGGAGGAACACCGGUGGCGAAGGCGGCAUCCUGGACCAACACUGACACUGAGGAGCGAAAGCCAGGGGAGCAAACAGG